GAAAUAAGAUUUUAAAUGAGUGCUAAGAGAAUGAUUAAACAAUUAAAAGCUUUCUUUAAUUAAAAAAUUAAAUUUAAUUUUUUAGUGCAAAAGCAAAAAUAAAAUUUAGGGACAAGAAGACCCUAUGAAUUUUUAUUGUUAAUAAUAAAAAUUUAAGUUAUUAAUAAUUUAAUUGGGGCGAUAAAAAAAGAAUAAGUAUCUUUUUAGUUAUAAAAUAAGUUCCGUUUUUAGCGAUUAAAUGAAAUAAAUACUCUAGGGAUAACAGCGUAAUAAUUUUGGAUAGUUCAUAUAGAUAAAAUAGUUUGCGACCUCGAUGUUGGAUUAGGAUUCUU
Molecule: ribosomal RNA, 332 nt
Filed under: Ixodes scapularis (black-legged tick)
Lineage: Eukaryota; Metazoa; Arthropoda; Arachnida; Ixodida; Ixodidae
Description: partial 16S ribosomal RNA
Source: RNAcentral